AGAAGUGGUGUAGUUUGGCACGUCGGUUUUUGAUACCAAUAGAAGUCUUUCAAAAGGCUCUCCUCUAAU
RNAcentral lists this transfer RNA (69 nucleotides) under Xylophaga washingtona. RNAcentral describes it as "tRNA-Gln". Lineage: Eukaryota; Metazoa; Mollusca; Bivalvia; Myida; Xylophagaidae. The record is from RNAcentral.